GAUGAACGCUGGCGGCGUGCCUAAUACAUGCAAGUCGAGCGAACAGACGAGGAGCUUGCUCCUCUGACGUUAGCGGCGGAGGGGUGAGUAACAUGUGUAUAACCUACCUAUAAGACCGGGAUAACUUCGGGACACCGGAGCUAAUACCGGACAAUAUAUUGAACCGCAUGGUUCAAUAGUGAAAUACGGUUUUGCUGUUACUUAUAGAUGGAUCCGCGCCGCAUUAGCUAGUUGGUAAGGUAACGGCUUACCAAGGCGACGAUGCGUAGCCGACCUGAGAGGGUGAUCGGCCACACGGGAACUGAGACGCGGUCCAGACUCCUACGGGAGGCAGCAGUAGGGAAUCUUCCGCAAUGGGCGAAAGCCUGACGGAGCAAAGCCGCGUGAGUCAUGAAGGUCUUCGGAUCGUAAAACUCUGUUAUUAGGGGAGAACAAAUGUGUAAGUAACUAUGCACGUCUUGACGGUACCUAAUCAGAAAGCCACGGCUAACUACGUG
This 497-nucleotide ribosomal RNA is filed under the name uncultured bacterium. RNAcentral's name for it is "partial 16S ribosomal RNA". It matches the Rfam family "Bacterial small subunit ribosomal RNA", at positions 28 to 507 of the family's 1533-position model. The record is from RNAcentral.